Falco peregrinus (peregrine falcon) is the source of this 2300-nucleotide long non-coding RNA. RefSeq lists it as uncharacterized. The transcript has 3 exons. The record is from RefSeq and is a predicted model, not a curated record. Lineage: Eukaryota; Metazoa; Chordata; Aves; Falconiformes; Falconidae.
CAAGCUGUCAAUGGUGGUGGGAUUGUGCACCAAAGGUAUCAACCCCAUGUGGGGCUGCAUUAGCAAGAGUGGUGGUGGUGGUGGGGUUGCUCCCCUCCAUCAGCACAUGUGAGGACAUAUCUGUGUACAGGGGCCAGUUUGAGCCUUCCCAGUACAAGGCAGACAGGGUCAGGCCACCAAACUGAGGCCCAGGAUAGGUGGAGAGAGACUGGGAAUAUCCAGCCUGGAAAAGAAAAGGAUGGAAUCGCUGUCUGAAGCUGCUCAAAAGGGUUAGAGAGAGGACAGAGCCAAACCACAUCUCUCCAUGCCUCUCAUUAUACCUUUUUAAUUGUUUAAUUACCCAUUUAGGCUGCUUAAACAGACCUCCUGGGCCCAUAGUCAUCCUUGCCCUGCUUUUUUCGGCUUUCCUAGGCAUCUACUAUUGAGAAACAGGGCAAGGACUUGACGGACCUUCACCUGAACCCCUGUGUCUGUUGUAUAUUCUCAAGGAAAAAGUCCAUUCUCCUGCUUGACUAAAAUGCAGUACAUCAGGGAUCAUGUGGAAGCACCACCAAAAGGAGCGGUCCCGAGAGGGCUCCACGCCUCCCCACCAAGAAGCACAGUGGCAUUUUCCUUUCCAGACCUGCACACAAAUUUCUCCAUAGCCUCCUUGACAACUGCAGUUUGUGAAAUCACAGAAUUUCUUUUCCAGCUAAGGGGAAACAUCAAGUGACUGUGAGGAUGUUUCCCUCUUGUACCUGGAAGGAAAGAGGGGAUGUAUUUACACGUAGUUGUAGUUUGCUCCUCUGUGUUUUAUCAGCAGUCGGGAUUCGUGGAGGGAAGAUGAUGGCUCAGCACUGUAUCGUGCAUCUUAGCAAACUAUACAAUGUGAUCACACAUCACCCUUGCAGAUGUUCACUGAUCUGCUUCAGCUGUGAAAGGAUGAGGUUGAGGUGGUUGUGUCAGGGUCCUAAUGGCAAUUAACAACCCUAUGCAGAUCCACUUGGGACCCCCCACCCCCACCCAUGGUCCAGGGGCUCUAUUUAAGUUCAGCCCUGGAGCAUCCAUGCAUGGCUAUGGUUGCUGCUGAUCCACAUGAGAUUGAAAUGCCUCUUGCUCUUAUUUCAGAAGCUGCAGCUGGGUCUGAACUUGUUCCUGAGAAGAAAGAACUGAGUCCUUUGUUUAAUGAUAUUGCUGUCUGCCAUCAGAUCCGGCUCAUUACUAUUGCAACGCCAAUGAUGCUUCCUGAUGCACAGCUGGCUCAAAACUCAUCCUGGGUCUUUCUAGCUUCUCUGUUGCAGGAAGAAAGAGAUUUCAGGUUGGUCUGAGCUGCCCAUAGUGGCAUUAUUGCUGGAAAGUACCUUGUGAGGUGUGAAGCCAGGAGAUAAAAAUAGCUCAAUGCCAAAUUAGAGCAAUGCAAGCAGGCCAGCUGAAGAGUUUUCACAUCUAACACCAGCCAGUCCGCAGCAGCAGGAGACAGAUAGGUCUGGCACUGGCAUCUGCUGCUGAUGUAAGGAAGUUUCAGUCACUGGAGGAUGGCAUUUUGCUGCUGGGAAGUAGCAGUUAGACAGCUGGGAAGGAGGAGAAUUGGAGAUGCCCAUCCCAUAUUUACCCUUUCCUGAAGGCACCGGGAUUUUUCAGUCUCCAGAGCCUGUCUCUCAGAUCAGUGGAGACCUGUGGAUUUGAUGACUUGACAGCAGCCAGAACAGGAGUUUCACACUCUACUAGCACCUAAGAGAGGUUGUGCUGCAGCUGGGGUGGGAGACAACAACUGGCUGAAAAUGAUUCUGAGAUAUCAGAAGUGACAGGACCUGGCUAGGACUUGGGAAGGACCUGGGCACCCUUCAGGACAGCAUCUGUAGAGGUGUUUGGGAGGACUCAACAUCUCCCGGGUGACCCUAAACAUUCAAAUGUACAAUUCACUGCAGGGCAGGGCCUUCCUGGCUGUCAGAAGAAAUUUCUGCUGCUCCUGACCCCUGGGACAUCAGCUUUGCCCUUUGGGUAAGGUGGGACAUCAGACUAACAUCCCGCAGAGACUGCUAUGGAUCAAAAAUGCUCACACUUCCCUGAAGACUCUUGGUGCCUCCAGAACCUUGCAAGUAACUAAACCAGGAACCAAAGUCAGCUUCUUCAGCCCCACAGGAACAUCAUUACUGAAUGUCAACAGGCAACACCAUUGAACGUCAGGAGUCCCAAAAAAAUGGUGUGGUUUCCUGGAUCAAACCAAAGGCUUGUCCAGAGCAUGUGAUGUCCAUCUUGCUGCCCAUGCUGUCUUAGGGAGCCAGCUGGAUGCUGGACUCCCAAACCCAGAAGAAAGGCAG